RNAcentral lists this ribosomal RNA (253 nucleotides) under uncultured bacterium. RNAcentral describes it as "partial 16S ribosomal RNA". It matches the Rfam family "Bacterial small subunit ribosomal RNA", at positions 524 to 776 of the family's 1533-position model. The record is from RNAcentral.
UACGAGGGGUGCAAGCGUUGCUCGGAAUUAUUGGGCGUAAAGGGUAGGUAGGUGGUCUUAUUUGUCUGGGGUGAAAGCCUUGGGCUUAACUCAAGAAGUGCCCCAGAAACGGUAAGACUAGAGUCCUGGAGAGGGUCGUGGAAUUCCCGGUGUAGCGGUGAAAUGCGUAGAGAUCGGGAGGAACACCAGAGGCGAAGGCGGCGACCUGGACAGGGACUGACACUCAACUACGAAAGCGUGGGGAGCAAACAGG